This 253-nucleotide ribosomal RNA is filed under the name uncultured bacterium. Its description in RNAcentral is "partial 16S ribosomal RNA". It matches the Rfam family "Bacterial small subunit ribosomal RNA", at positions 524 to 776 of the family's 1533-position model. The record is from RNAcentral.
GACGAACCGUCCGACCGUUAUUCGGAAUCACUGGGCUUAAAGGGUGCGUAGGCGGCGCGGAAAGUUGGGUGUGAAAUCCCUCGGCUCAACCGAGGAACUGCGCCCAAUACUACCGUGCUCGAGGGAGAUAGAGGUGAGCGGAACUUAGGGUGGAGCGGUGAAAUGCGUUGAUAUCCUAAGGAACACCGGUGGCGAAAGCGGCUCACUGGAUCUCUUCUGACGCUGAGGCACGAAAGCUAGGGGAGCAAACGGG